Molecule: non-coding RNA, 204 nt
Organism: Vicia faba (fava bean)
Lineage: Eukaryota; Viridiplantae; Streptophyta; Magnoliopsida; Fabales; Fabaceae
Source: the annotation of a GenBank genome assembly
AUGUAUGCUAUUGAAGAUAGAGAGAAUGGAAGCUUUAAGAUUAUCGAGAAUGGAAGGUUGAAGAUAACCGAGAUCCUCCAAAAGUUUUCUUGUAGGGACAGACUCAUGACGAAAUCCUUUGUUCCUAUAUUUGAUGCAGAGGAAAAAACUAUACAGAGGAAUGCAUAUAUUCAUUUUUGGUUUUGGGAUAUUGAUGUGCAUUGA